AACAGGAUUAGAUACCCUGGUAGUCCACGCCGUAAACGAUGUCGACUUGGAGGUUGUGCCCUUGAGGCGUGGCUUCCGGAGCUAACGCGUUAAGUCGACCGCCUGGGGAGUACGGCCGCAAGGUUAAAACUCAAAUGAAUUGACGGGGGCCCGCACAAGCGGUGGAGCAUGUGGUUUAAUUCGAUGCAACGCGAAGAACCUUACCUACUCUUGACAUCCAGAGAACUUAGCAGAGAUGCUUUGGUGCCUUCGGGAACUCUGAGACAGGUGCUGCAUGGCUGUCGUCAGCUCGUGUUGUGAAAUGUUGGGUUAAGUCCCGCAACGAGCGCAACCCUUAUCCUUUGUUGCCAGCGGUUAGGCCGGGAACUCAAAGGAGACUGCCAGUGAUAAACUGGAGGAAGGUGGGGAUGACGUCAAGUCAUCAUGGCCCUUACGAGUAGGGCUACACACGUGCUACAAUGGCAUAUACAAAGAGAAGCGACCUCGCGAGAGCAAGCGGACCUCAUAAAGUAUGUCGUAGUCCGGAUUGGAGUCUGCAACUCGGCUCCAUGAAGUCGGAAUCGCUAGUAAUCGUGGAUCAGAAUGCCACGGUGAAUACGUUCCCGGGCCUUGUACACACCGCCCGUCACACCAUGGGAGUGGGUUGCAAAAGAAGUAGGUAGCUUAACCUUCGGGAGGGCGCUUACCACUUUGUGAUUCAUGACUGGGGUGCAGUCGUAACAAGGUAACC
RNAcentral lists this ribosomal RNA (730 nucleotides) under uncultured bacterium. RNAcentral's name for it is "bacterial SSU rRNA". It matches the Rfam family "Bacterial small subunit ribosomal RNA", at positions 771 to 1501 of the family's 1533-position model. The record is from RNAcentral.